This is an RNA transcript of Eucalyptus grandis, 1407 nucleotides long. RefSeq lists it as uncharacterized. The record is from RefSeq and is a predicted model, not a curated record. The transcript has 3 exons. Lineage: Eukaryota; Viridiplantae; Streptophyta; Magnoliopsida; Myrtales; Myrtaceae.
AGAGAGUGAGAGAAAAGAAAGGAAAAAUUGAGUUUUCUUCCUCCCUUCUCUCCUCCUCCGUCGACGGAUCCCCCCCUUUCUUCCUCUUCUCUUCGGUUGCUCGGCACCAUGGAAGCCGAAGAAGCCGAAGAAGCUCCGCCCGUCGCCGCUUCUCGCCGCCGUCGUUGCCCACCGAAGCCGGAGCCGCCGCCGCUGCUCCACGGUCGUCCGCGCAUCUCAGCCCUCUCUCCUUCCUCUGGUUCGAACAGAACCGAUCAGCAGGAGCAGAAGCAACGAUCGGCGUUGCUUGAAGGAGCUGCAGUCGCGCCGCACGCCACCUCGCCGUUCCCGGCCCGCGUCGCCUCGCCGUUCGCCGUCCCGUGCUCUGCUUGCCUCGGCCUCUCCCUCGCUCAGCCCUCUGUUUCAGCGAAGUUUCAGAUUUGGUGGAGCUCCGCCGGAGCCGUCCACCCCUCCUCCGGCCACCGUGAAGCCUCACCUUGGUUCGGUUCGGCCCCUCCGUCCAUUUCCGACCCAACCCAGCUCCGGAUCCGCCCUCAUUCGCCCUUAACCAGCCGCGCACAGAGAGUGCAGGAAAUGGGUUUCCAGCUGGUUCGGGCUCGUUUUGGGUCGUUUCCUGGCCCCGAACCCGAGGCCCACUUUGGGAACAAUCGUUUCUCGCGUUGCCGCCGUCGGAUUGAUCCGAUUUGCGCGCGAUUUGGAGCGUUAACCUAAUGCUAAAGGUGAGGGAGGCCGUCUCAUUAAGCCAGUGAUACGGAGGGCAACAGAGGAAAAUGACUUGCAUGUGGAACAUCAGUUUCCGCUUCCGCUUCAAGAACAAUGGAUCCCAAAAACAGGAGCAUUAACCUAACGCUAAAGGUGAGGGGGGCCGCCUCAUUGAGCCAGUGAUACAGAGGGCAAUAGAGGAGAAGGACUUGCGCAUGGAACAUCAGUUUCCGCUUCCGUUUCAAGAACAAUGGAUUCCAAAAAUAGGUACGUUAAUCUUUCUACUCAAUUAUACAUGUUCUUGUUCUGGUUAUGGAGAUCUUGGGAUUGCGCAAUUGUGCAUCCAACAUACACUUCUUGUUAAAUUUUACUGAUGAUCCGACGAAGUGUGUGUUUGAGGAUGCAAGCCUUGCCACUCUGCUAGCAUACACUUUUGUUAAAUUCUAUUUAUGAUCCGACGAAGUUCCAAAAGAUGGAACGGAAUGAGGUUGGAUUUGAUUAAUGGGGGGCACAGACUCAAAGGAGUUUAUGGGUGCUACGUUCUUCUUUCUAUGUUUCCUGUAAUAAGUAAGUGACGCCUUGAACAAUAUUUUUCUUGUUGUACUGGUUUUUAAACAUUUUAAUAUAUAACGAGGAGGAAAUACGGUCAUGAUAGUAAGCAUGUACCCCAAGAGAUGUGGGAGUGAAAGUAGGCCUCAUUAGCAA